GAUGAACGCUGGCGGCGUGCCUAAUACAUGCAAGUCGAACGCUGGAACUCUAGCUUGCUCGCUUGAAGGAGUGGCGAACGGGUGAGUAAUACAUAAGCAACCUACCCACGAAGACUGGGAUAAUCUCUGGAAACGGGGACUAAUACCGGAUAGGUAAUCGGAAGGCAUCUUCUGAUUAUUAAAGGUUAAAAACACUGGUGGAUGGGCUUAUGGCGCAUUAGUUAGUUGGUGAGGUAACGGCCCACCAAGACGAUGAUGCGUAGCCGGCCUGAGAGGGUGAACGGCCACAUUGGGACUGAGACACGGCCCAGACUCCUACGGGAGGCAGCAGUAGGGAAUUGUCGGCAAUGGGGGAAACCCUGACCGAGCAACGCCGCGUGAGUGAUGACGGCCUUCGGGUUGUAAAGCUCUGUUGUAAGGGAAGAACGGUAGAUAGAGAAUAUCUAAAUGACGGUACCUUACCAGAAAGCCACGGCUAACUACGUG
This 486-nucleotide ribosomal RNA is filed under the name uncultured bacterium. RNAcentral's name for it is "partial 16S ribosomal RNA". It matches the Rfam family "Bacterial small subunit ribosomal RNA", at positions 28 to 507 of the family's 1533-position model. The record is from RNAcentral.